GUUCUGUAACUCCAAACCAUGGCACCCUGCCAUAAGGGGGGCAGAACAUACCCAACACCUCUAUCUGGCCACAGCUCACUUUGGUUCUUCCUAACCCUCUGGAGGAGGCAGGGCCUAUUUUUCCGAUGAGAAAACUGAGGCCUAGAGAUAUGGAGACCUGCGGAAGAUCCCACAUUUCACGGGAAAACCGGAGACUUUCUACACUGGAUUCAGGGACUACUGGGCCGAACAAAGAAAUCCCGCCUUUCACCAAGCCCAGAACUGGGCGCGGCGUGGAUUUGCUCGCUGCCCCUCCCAGAAUUGGACGAAAACGAGGUGGGGCCAGCAGGCGCUCGGCAGGGCGGGCUCGCUCUUAACACGUGACAGCGCUCAGCCAAUUGGCGCGGGGCGUCCGUAGCCACGGCAACAGGUUGCUUCUGCAGUCUGAGCUGAGCGCCUUUCGCACGACUUGGAGUUACGGUUUAUCUGAUACCCCGGUACCCCUACGCAAGCAAGCCCACAUCGACACACAUUCACACACGCCCUUCAGCACCCCCUCCCAGCACCACGACCAUGGACGACGACUAUGAAGCGUACCACAGUCUGUUCUUGUCGCUGCUCGGACUCUGCCCGUCUAAGACUCCCAUCAAUGAAAAUGCUCCCGUCUUUGAUCCUGAACCGGUCAUUGCCCACUGCUUCAAGCAGUUCCAGCAGAAGGACUUCCGCCUGCCUCAGACCCGCCGGCGAAUCAUCAUGGUGCCUCGCAAGGAGGAUCAGACACCCAUUAAUCCUGCAUCCCAACCUCAGGCUCCCCCAAAGCCCAUCCCCAGCUUCAAAGUUCUGGAAGCUAGAGAUAUCCAAGAGCAGCCAGAGGACAGGAAGACCUGGCUGAGCCAGAGGUCGAAGCUGCGGCAGGAGCUAGAGUCCUUUGGUGAUGUAAAGAGGUGGCUGGAGAACAAGCCCAGCAUCACGCCUUCAGAGGCCAAGGUCUUACACAUGAUCCACGAGGAGCAGAGUGCCCAGCCAAAUGCCUCCCAGGCAACUACGAGGACUACCAGGAAGAAAGCCCCCAGGCUCUCCCGGCUGUCCCGCCAGAUGGUGCCCCAGCUCCAGCUGCCCAAGCCCCCUGCCCUGUCAGUCAUGUACUCCUACCUGCAUAGCCGCAAGAUCAAGAUCCUGGAGAUAUUUCACAAGGUGGGCCAGGGUGAGAACCAGAGAAUCACCAGGGAGGAGUUCAUCGCGGCUGUAAAGGCAGUCGGAGUCCCUCUGAAGAACCAAGAGGUGGAGGAUAUAGUGAUCUACCUCAGCUCUCUUGGGAAGCACAACACCAUCACCAUGGAUAUCCUGGCCAAUACCUACAAGCAGUGGUCUAUGGCUCAGCAAAGGAGCAGCCUGGCCACUGCAAGGGAGCAGGUCAGGAUUACUAUUCCUGCUUUACGAGGAGGAAGCUGGAGCUCAGAGAGGCUGAGCCACUUGUUCACAGCCUCAAUAGAAGGUGGUUAUAUCUUGGCCAAGCACAGAGAUUCCCUGAAGGGUCCGCUCAAGAAGCAGGAGGUGGAUUCAGCCCCACAGCUUCCCAAAGUGGACCUACUGACGGUGCCUGCAGUCGACACGCAGAUGGAGGCGCGGCCCAUGACCCUGGAGGAGAUGGAGGAAGUGGGCAAGCGGUACCGCGAGCGGCAGCGACAGCACAAGCUCACGAUCCCCUCCAUCCAGUACACGGAGCAAUGUCACCUGGUGCGCUGUGGGAAUCGGCACUUUGAUGAGCACUGCCUCCCGUCCACCAUCCACGGGGAUAUGAGGGAGCUCAUUGACUCGGCCCGCAGGCACAACUUUCUGGUCUACCUGCAAUGCUGGAAGCUCUGUGAGUCCUAUGGCCUCCUGCUGACGGAGGACAUCCUCAUGAAAGCCUUGCUGUACCCAGGAGACAAGAUCAUUUUCCAGAUGGACAAAGUGUGCCCCAUCCGGCAGCCGGGAGGCUACUACUCUGACUGGAAGGUCUUUUCUCCGAAUCUGGCUCUGCUCCGGUCCCAGGGCCCUGGCAAGUCUAAGAGGACUGACAAGAAAACGCCAAAGAAAAGCAAGAAAAUGCGCUUUAAGGAGUUUGAGGAAUUUACCAGGUCUGUGGCAAUCAUCUAACUCCACAACGAAGGAAGGUGGGAGGAGGGGCAGCUUCGCCUGAGACAACUGGGACUCUGCGCUCCUGGCACAACAGCUGGGGCUCGGUGCCCUGGCCUGAGAGGCGGUGACACAACACAGAGAGGGCCAGGAGGCAUUGCUCUGGGGCUUUCCAUGUGUUCACUCACUCAGAUCCUCCCAACAGCCCUAUGAAGUGACACUAAGCAUAUUCAUUUUACACAGGAGGAAACUGAGGCACAGACAGGGUAAAUAUCAUGCUCAGAGUCGCACAUCUACGAAGUGAUGCAGUGGGGAUCUGAACCCAGCUAGGGUGGCUGCAGGGGCCGUACUCCAAACACCACAUUAAAAUGCCUCCAGAUAACAGAUGGUUUGCGCUUAAGACUUUGAGUUUAGAGGCAUUGGACAAGGAAUGAAGCCUGCACUUGGCCACUUGCUCAGUGUGCGACGGCCUCUCCAGGCCUCCGGGUCCUCACAGGAAGCUGAAGGUGAAGAGGUCCAGUGGUCUGCAGCAAACACACCCCAAUUCCUUCUGGCCGGGUCAUCUUCUGGAUAAGCUGCAGCUCUACCUGCCCACUGUGGCCACAGACCGGAGCCUGGCGCUCUUCAGUUGUGUUCAACACCAGCCCCAUGUCUACCCAGCCACCUACCACCCUGACCACUGGUGGCCCCUUAGGAACAAGAACUACAUGACCCGCGCCCAUUAUGAUGCCGCCAAGGUGUACUACAUCAACUAGAGCUAGCCAGGUGUGGCCGGACCCAGCCUUCCUGGGCCAGGGGCCAGUGCAGCCAGCGGCCCAGAGCCCAGACACAAGAGGAGUGUCAAAGAGUCAAACUAAAGAAAUCCUUUCAAAGAGGGAUGGACCGGGGGCCAGUUCCCUCUGGACUCAAAGUGUCCAGUGUCUCAGAGGGUAGAUGUGUCCAAGGAAUGACGUGCAGUUUUUGACUAUUUCCCUCCCCUGACCUCUGCCCUUUCUACAUAAAGCAGGUUGGAGUUUUUCUCAUUUCA
Molecule: RNA transcript, 3124 nt
Organism: Pan troglodytes (chimpanzee)
Lineage: Eukaryota; Metazoa; Chordata; Mammalia; Primates; Hominidae
Gene: EFCAB12
Gene name: EF-hand calcium binding domain 12
Exons: 10
Source: RefSeq, a predicted model, not a curated record